This 212-nucleotide long non-coding RNA is filed under the name Hordeum vulgare. RNAcentral's name for it is "long non-coding RNA (HVUL_LNC013518)". The record is from RNAcentral. Lineage: Eukaryota; Viridiplantae; Streptophyta; Magnoliopsida; Poales; Poaceae.
UGAAAUGAAGGCCGUUGACCUGCUGCCACUCCCUCCUCCUCCUACCUCCCGAGCUCGCACCUACAGUCCUCGCCUGAUCGCCUCCGGUCUCCUCUCCCGAUGGACGCCGUCGCCUUCUCCUCCGCUUCGAACCCCAACGCCGCGCCAUUCCCCUCCGCCUCCCCGUCCUCCGGCGCCCACCGCUUCUCCAUCCGCGGCCCGCGGCGGCGGCG